UCACCCCUCAAGCCCCGGCUUGGUGUUGGGCUCCCGGUGGUCGUACCCGACCACCCGCCUCAAAGAUAGUGACGGCGUCCCAGAGGGAACCGGUACGAGGAGCUUUCACGAGCAUGUACGCGGGACGACUCUGCGGGCGACGGUCUUUUUUAACUUAAUAAAG
This 163-nucleotide unclassified non-coding RNA is filed under the name Rhinocladiella sp. RNAcentral describes it as "partial internal transcribed spacer 2". Lineage: Eukaryota; Fungi; Ascomycota; Eurotiomycetes; Chaetothyriales; Herpotrichiellaceae. RNAcentral also lists the same sequence under 2 other names. The record is from RNAcentral.